CUGUACGAAAAGGAUGGUGUAAGAAUACGCUCUAGUGCUUCUCUCAUCAACAGCUGUAUAAAUAUCUAAAGUCACCUACAAGUCGGAACCACCUAUAAUGGUCUGUAUGACAUGUCGGAACCACCUCUCAUGGUCUGUACGACAUGCACUUACUUGGAUCCAAGGUGAGCGUGUGGUGCGGGGUAAAUAAUAUAAGCACUAACACCAAGGGUGCAGGUUAUGAGCUCUCAACACAAUUCACAUCAUCAAUAAAUCAUAUGAACAAUAUAAACUCACCUGAUACUCACCUGUGCGUCCACAGCACCAUUUAACAUAUAUACAUCAAAUACUAAUUCACAUAUUUCAUAUAAUAUGCAUGCAUGGCAUACUUUCUGGUUUUGAUAAAGAUUUGUGAAUUGAGCUAUUUGAAGAUUUAUAUGCAUAUUAUAUACUAUUGUUCUGGAAAAGUAUACAGGUUUUACAGCGAGGGGUUAGAAAUGUUAUUAAAUGAAAUAUUUUCGAAAAACUUUGUUUUACUGACCCACUCAAUCUUGUUUUUUCGCCCCUUCAGGUUCUAGUUAGCAGUGUUGGUGGCUCACGAGGAUUCCCACGGUGUUCUGACAGAAUUCACAAAAGUAGGACUCACCCUCGGGUGUUACAUCUUAGUAAUUGUAUCUUUAAAGCUUCCGAACUAUGUAAAUGGUUACGUCACUCUCACGUGACGGCCAGCAUGCCCUCCUUCGGGAUGGGG
Molecule: long non-coding RNA, 730 nt
Filed under: Malus domestica (apple)
Lineage: Eukaryota; Viridiplantae; Streptophyta; Magnoliopsida; Rosales; Rosaceae
Description: long non-coding RNA (MDOM_LNC016430)
Source: RNAcentral